GACGAACCGUGCGAACGUUGUUCGGAAUCACUGGGCUUAAAGGGCGCGUAGGCGGGUUACCAAGUCCGGGGUGAAAUCUUUCGGCUCAACCGGAAAAGUGCCUUGGAUACUGGUAGUCUCGAGGGAGGUAGGGGUAUGUGGAACUUCCGGUGGAGCGGUGAAAUGCGUUGAUAUCGGAAGGAACGCCGGUGGCGAAAGCGACGUACUGGACCUUUUCUGACGCUGAGGCGCGAAAGCCAGGGGAGCGAACGGG
Molecule: ribosomal RNA, 253 nt
Filed under: uncultured Zavarzinella sp.
Lineage: Bacteria; Pseudomonadati; Planctomycetota; Planctomycetia; Gemmatales; Gemmataceae
Description: partial 16S ribosomal RNA
Rfam family: Bacterial small subunit ribosomal RNA
Source: RNAcentral